RNAcentral lists this ribosomal RNA (253 nucleotides) under uncultured bacterium. Its description in RNAcentral is "partial 16S ribosomal RNA". It matches the Rfam family "Bacterial small subunit ribosomal RNA", at positions 524 to 776 of the family's 1533-position model. The record is from RNAcentral.
UACGAAGGGUGCAAGCGUUGCUCGGAAUUAUUGGGCGUAAAGGGUAGGUAGGUGGUGACAUUUGUCUGGGGUGAAAUCCCUGAGCUUAACUCAGGAAGUGCCUUGGAAACGGUGUCACUAGAGUACUGGAGAGGUUCGCAGAAUUCUUGGUGUAGCGGUGAAAUGCGUAGAGAUCAAGAGGAAUACCAGAGGCGAAGGCGGCGAACUGGACAGUAACUGACACUCAACUACGAAAGCGUGGGGAGCAAACAGG